Small nuclear RNA from Bombina bombina (fire-bellied toad), 113 nucleotides. RefSeq annotates it as U5 spliceosomal RNA. NCBI's taxonomy places the organism in Eukaryota, Metazoa, Chordata, Amphibia, Anura, Bombinatoridae. The record is from RefSeq and is a predicted model, not a curated record. The transcript has a single exon.
AUGCGCUGGUUUCUCUUCAGAUCGAAUAAAUCAUUCCUUUGUCUAAAGAUUUUCGUGGGGAGGAACAACCAUGAGUUGCCAAAACAUUUUGAGGCUCUGCCCUAUGCAGGUCU